AGCGAACGCUGGCGGCAGGCCUAACACAUGCAAGUCGAACGAACUCUUCGGAGUUAGUGGCGGACGGGUGAGUAACACGUGGGAACGUGCCUUUUGGUUCGGAAUAACUCAGGGAAACUUGUGCUAAUACCGAAUGUGCCCUUCGGGGGAAAGAUUUAUCGCCAUUAGAGCGGCCCGCGUCUGAUUAGCUAGUUGGUGAGGUAACGGCUCACCAAGGCGACGAUCAGUAGCUGGUCUGAGGGGAUGACCAGCCACACUGGGACUGAGACACGGCCCAGACUCCUACGGGAGGCAGCAGUGGGGAAUCUUGCGCAAUGGGCGAAAGCCUGACGCAGCCAUGCCGCGUGAAUGAUGAAGGUCUUAGGAUUGUAAAAUUCUUUCACCGGGGACGAUAAUGACGGUACCCGGAGAAGAAGCCCCGGCUAACUUCGUA
Molecule: ribosomal RNA, 433 nt
Filed under: uncultured bacterium
Lineage: Bacteria
Description: partial 16S ribosomal RNA
Rfam family: Bacterial small subunit ribosomal RNA
Source: RNAcentral